Molecule: ribosomal RNA, 395 nt
Filed under: uncultured bacterium
Lineage: Bacteria
Description: partial 16S ribosomal RNA
Rfam family: Bacterial small subunit ribosomal RNA
Source: RNAcentral
AAUAUUGCACAAUGGAGGAAACUCUGAUGCAGCGACGCCGCGUGAGUGAAGAAGGNCUNNGGAUCNUNAAACUCUGUCCUUGGNNNNNAUAAUGACGGUNGCCAAGGAGGAAGCACCGGCUAACUACGUGCCAGCAGCCGCGGUAAUACGUAGGGGGCGAGCGAUGUGCGGAUUUACUGGGCGUAAAGGGUGAGUAGGCGGUUGCAUAAGUCAGAUGUAAAAGGCUAAGGCUUAACCAUAGUAUGCAUUUGAAACUGUGUGACUUGAGUACAGGAGAGGUAAGCGGAAUUCCUAGUGUAGCGGUGAAAUGCGUAGAUAUUAGGAGGAACACCAGUGGCGAAGGCGGCUUACUGGACUGUAACUGACGCUGAGUCACGAAAGCGUGGGUAGCAAAC